Molecule: ribosomal RNA, 874 nt
Filed under: Niesslia aurantiaca
Lineage: Eukaryota; Fungi; Ascomycota; Sordariomycetes; Hypocreales; Niessliaceae
Description: eukaryotic LSU rRNA
Rfam family: Eukaryotic large subunit ribosomal RNA
Source: RNAcentral
GCGGAGGAAAAGAAACCAACAGGGAUUGCCCCAGUAACGGCGAGUGAAGCGGCAACAGCUCAAAUUUGAAAUCUGGCCUCACGGCCCGAGUUGUAAUUUGCAGAGGAUGCUUUUGGCGCGGCGCCUUCCGAGUGCCCUGGAACGGGACGCCAUAGAGGGUGAGAGCCCCGUCUGGUUGGAUGCCUAGCCUCUGUAAAGCUCCUUCGACGAGUCGAGUAGUUUGGGAAUGCUGCUCAAAAUGGGAGGUAUAUGUCUUCUAAAGCUAAAUAUUGGCCAGAGACCGAUAGCGCACAAGUAGAGUGAUCGAAAGAUGAAAAGCACUUUGAAAAGAGGGUUAAAUAGUACGUGAAAUUGUUGAAAGGGAAGCGCUUGUGACCAGACUUGGGCUUGGUGAAUCAUCCGGCGUUCUCGCCGGUGCACUUUGCCUGUCCAGGCCAGCAUCAGUUCGCUCCGGGGGAUAAAGGCGUGGGGAAUGUGGCUCCUCCGGGAGUGUUAUAGCCCCGCGUGUAAUACCCUGUGGCGGACUGAGGUUCGCGCUCCGCAAGGAUGCUGGCGUAAUGGUCAUCAGCGACCCGUCUUGAAACACGGACCAAGGAGUCGUCUUCGUAUGCGAGUGUUCGGGUGUCAAACCCCUACGCGUAAUGAAAGUGAACGCAGGUGAGAGCUUCGGCGCAUCAUCGACCGAUCCUGAUGUUCUCGGAUGGAUUUGAGUAAGAGCAUACGGGGCCGGACCCGAAAGAAGGUGAACUAUGCCUGUAUAGGGUGAAGCCAGAGGAAACUCUGGUGGAGGCUCGCAGCGGUUCUGACGUGCAAAUCGAUCGUCAAAUAUGGGCAUGGGGGCGAAAGACUAAUCGAACCUUCUAGUAGCUGGUUU